Molecule: unclassified non-coding RNA, 246 nt
Filed under: Glomus sp.
Lineage: Eukaryota; Fungi; Glomeromycota; Glomeromycetes; Glomerales; Glomeraceae
Description: partial contains 5.8S ribosomal RNA and internal transcribed spacer 2
Rfam family: 5.8S ribosomal RNA (bases 1-65)
Source: RNAcentral
GUGAAUCAUCAAAUUUUUGAACGCAAAUUGCACUCUCUUCGGAGAGUAUGCCUGUUUGAGGGUCAGCCAAAAAAAAAAAUCGACAUAGUCGCUGUUUCGCGGUGACAUUCGUCGGAAAUUUGGUCAUCUUUAACUUUUUGGUUUUAAUUGUCUUAAAAUUUUCUUUACGAUUCCACGGACGUUUCUAAGUUUUACUUCUUAUACGUUUAAGGUAUUGAACUUUGUUAGACGAUGCCGCUGCAUCAG